Long non-coding RNA from Melopsittacus undulatus (budgerigar), 1082 nucleotides. Lineage: Eukaryota; Metazoa; Chordata; Aves; Psittaciformes; Psittaculidae. The record is from Ensembl.
GGGCUCAGCUGCAAUUUUGCUGCCACAAAUGCAGAAGGCAUCAGCAGUUGUUGUUCAUCAGCGUCCUUUCCGAAGGACACAAAAAUUACAGCCAUAAACCUGGGAGCAGGAGGCAGUGGAUGAGCCACACCAGCCACAGAGGGAGCUGGGGUGUCGGGUUGGUUUGCUGCCUUCUGUGCUGUUAGUUUCGUGAUUAGAUCAAGGCUCCAAGACAUGGUUUUGUUGCUGGCUCUGGGGCAGGUUUGCUGUGUGACACUGGAUGCACGUCCUUCCUCAUCAACCCCAAGAAUUGCUGCUGUUUGCUUCUACAUCCAUGCAUCUUCAUCCACCAGUAUAUCUGAAUGCGAAGACAAGGCAGGAAAUCAUCCCCACAGAAUGGAAAGGAAGUGGCAGGAGGCUGGAAGAGAUCGUAGUGCACUACACUGAAGAGACUUGCCCAGACCUGACUUGGGAAGGACCGGGAUAGGAGGCACAGAAGGUACUGCCCUAGGAGAGCUUGUUGGGAUUCUCUCUCUCCCCUCACCCUCUACCCCUCCUUUAUUUUUUCUCCCUGUGCUGGAACAUUCACUAGAGUACUUGCUAACCUUCAGGUAACACUCUUGCAGGAAGAGGUACUGCAGAGCUCUGCAUGGCCCCACAGAUGGUCACAGAAUCAUGGAAUGGCUUGGGUUAGAAAGGACCUUAUACCUGGAUGCAGAGCUUUUCACCUCGUGGCUGGUUAUUCCAAAAGGAGUCCUGGUGAGCAGAAACCACCUCAUUAAAAUCCACGUUCUCAGGUCAAGUCAGGCCUUACAGCGCAGGGAUCCUCUCAAAACAGAUUAAAACCAGCAUCAUAAAAAUGUGAUUGUGCCUGCCUUAUUUAGCACCCCUAAUGCAACUCAGGACAAGCAAAUACUUAGAAGCAACCCGCAGUCCAGGUUUUAUACUACAGGCUGUAUCCCCUGGAUGGGGAAAUGCCCUGCUUCCAUCCUUUUAGGGGUUUUCAACUUUCCAUUCAGCAAUUCCUUCUGCACAUCCAUAGAUGAACUCUGAAAGAAGGCAGGAGGAGGAGAAAAGUCUCUCUGCAGAGUGCAGUAUUACAC